AUUGAACGCUGGCGGCAGGCCUAACACAUGCAAGUCGAGCGGAUGAAGGGAGCUUGCUCCUGGAUUCAGCGGCGGACGGGUGAGUAAUGCCUAGGAAUCUGCCUGGUAGUUGGGGAUAACGUCCGGAAACGGGCGCUAAUACCGCAUACGUCCUUAGGGAGAAAGUGGGGGAUCUUCGGACCUCACGCUAUCAGAUGAGCCUAGGUCGGAUUAGCUAGUUGGUGGGGUAAAGGCCUACCAAGGCGACGAUCCGUAACUGGUCUGAGAGGAUGAUCAGUCACACUGGAACUGAGACACGGUCCAGACUCCUACGGGAGGCAGCAGUGGGGAAUAUUGGACAAUGGGCGAAAGCCUGAUCCAGCCAUGCCGCGUGUGUGAAGAAGGUCUUCGGAUUGUAAAGCACUUUAAGUUGGGAGGAAGGGCAGUAAGUUAAUACCUGGCUGUUUUGACGUUACCAACAGAAUAAGCACCGGCUAACUUCGUG
Molecule: ribosomal RNA, 484 nt
Filed under: uncultured bacterium
Lineage: Bacteria
Description: partial 16S ribosomal RNA
Rfam family: Bacterial small subunit ribosomal RNA
Source: RNAcentral